ACUCAAAGGAAUUGACGGGGGCCCGCACAAGCGGUGGAGCAUGUGGUUCAAUUCGAUGCAACGCGAAGAACCUUACCAGGGUUUGAACUGUAUUUGAAAGACUCAGAGAUGAGUAACCCUAGCAAUAGGCAAUUACAGAGGUGCUGCAUGGCUGUCGUCAGCUCGUGUCGUGAGAUGUUGGGUUAAGUCCCGCAACGAGCGCAACCCUUGCUCUUAGUUGCUCGCUCGCAAGAGCAGCACUCUAAGAGGACCGCCGGUGACAAACCGGAGGAAGGUGGGGAUGACGUCAAGUCAUCAUGGCCUUUAUGCCCUGGGCUACACACGUGCUACAAUGGCCGGUACAGAGGGUUGCGAAACCGCAAGGCGAAGCCAAUCCCAGAAAACCGGCCUCAGUUCGGAUUGCACUCUGCAACUCGAGUGCAUGAAGGUGGAAUCGCUAGUAAUCGCGGAUCAGCAUGCCGCGGUGAAUACGUUUCCGGGCCUUGCACACACCGCCCGU
RNAcentral lists this ribosomal RNA (499 nucleotides) under uncultured bacterium. RNAcentral's name for it is "partial 16S ribosomal RNA". It matches the Rfam family "Bacterial small subunit ribosomal RNA", at positions 899 to 1397 of the family's 1533-position model. The record is from RNAcentral.